RNAcentral lists this ribosomal RNA (408 nucleotides) under uncultured bacterium. Its description in RNAcentral is "partial 16S ribosomal RNA". It matches the Rfam family "Bacterial small subunit ribosomal RNA", at positions 28 to 526 of the family's 1533-position model. The record is from RNAcentral.
GACGAACGCUGGCGGCGUGCUUAACACAUGCAAGUCGAACGAAGUGGCGAAUGGGUGAGUACCGCGUAAUCAACCUGCCCUUCAGAGGAGGACAACAGUAGGAAACGACUGCUAAUACCGAAUACUGAGGGAGGGGAUUGCGUCUGAUUGGCUAGUUGGAGGGGUAACGGCCCACAAAGGCGAUGAUCAGUAGCCGGGCUGAGAGGAUGAACGGGCACAUUGGGACUGAGACACGGCCCAGACUCCUACGGGAGGCAGCAGUGGGGAAUCUUCCGCAAUGGACGAAAGUCUGACGGAGCAACGCCGCGUGAGUGAGGACGGCCUUCGGGUUGUAAAGCUCUGUUAAUCGGGACGCGGUACCGGAAUAGAAAGCCACGGCUAACUACGUGCCAGCAGCCGCGGUAAUUC